RNAcentral lists this ribosomal RNA (529 nucleotides) under uncultured microorganism. RNAcentral describes it as "bacterial SSU rRNA". It matches the Rfam family "Bacterial small subunit ribosomal RNA", at positions 9 to 520 of the family's 1533-position model. The record is from RNAcentral.
GAGUUUGAUCUUGGCUUAGGAUGAACGCUGGCGGCGUGCCUAACACAUGCAAGUCGAACGGAGUUUAUGAGGAAGAAGCUUCGGCGGAAUUCUUAUAAACUUAGUGGCGGACGGGUGAGUAACACGUGGAGAACCUGCCUCUUACCGGGGGGACAGCAGUUGGAAACGACUGAUAAUACCGCAUAAGCGCACGAGACCGCAUGGUCCUGUGUGAAAAGAUUUAUCGGUAAGAGAUGGCUCCGCGUCUGAUUAGCCAGUUGGCGGGGUAACGGCCCACCAAAGCGACGAUCAGUAGCCGGCCUGAGAGGGUGAACGGCCACAUUGGGACUGAGACACGGCCCAGACUCCUACGGGAGGCAGCAGUGGGGGAUAUUGCACAAAUGGAGGAAACUCUGAUGCAGCGACGCCGCGUGAGUGAAGAAGUAUUUCGGUAUGUAAAGCUCUAUCAGCAGGGAAGAAAGACCUCGAAAGAGGGGAUGACGGUACCUGAGUAAGAAGCCCCGGCUAACUACGUGCCAGCCGCCGACCG